RNAcentral lists this ribosomal RNA (744 nucleotides) under Brevundimonas sp. LPMIX5. Its description in RNAcentral is "bacterial LSU rRNA". It matches the Rfam family "Bacterial large subunit ribosomal RNA", at positions 1170 to 1930 of the family's 2925-position model. The record is from RNAcentral. Lineage: Bacteria; Pseudomonadati; Pseudomonadota; Alphaproteobacteria; Caulobacterales; Caulobacteraceae.
AUGUACCGGGGCUAAAACAAUUUACCGAAGCUGUGGAUACCUUUAUAGGUAUGGUAGGAGAGCGUUCUAUGUGUGAUGAAGGUAUACCGUGAGGAGUGCUGGAACGCAUAGAAGUGAGAAUGCCGGUAUGAGUAGCGAAAGACAGGUGAGAAUCCUGUCCACCGUAAGACUAAGGUUUCCAGGGGAAGGCUCGUCCGCCCUGGGUUAGUCGGGACCUAAGGAGAGACCGAAAGGUGUAUCCGAUGGACAACAGGUUGAUAUUCCUGUACUAGAGUAUGUAGUGAUGGAGGGACGCAGUAGGCUAACUAAAGCAGACGAUUGGAAGAGUCUGUCUAAGCAGUGAGGUGUGAAUUGAGUCAAAUGCUUAAUUCUAUAACAUUGAGCUGUGAUGGGGAGCGAAGUUUAGUAGCGAAGUUAGUGACGUCACACUGCCAAGAAAAGCUUCUAGCGUUUAAACAUACUCUACCCGUACCGCAAACCGACACAGGUAGUCGAGGCGAGUAGCCUCAGGUGAGCGAGAGAACUCUCGUUAAGGAACUCGGCAAAAUGACCCCGUAACUUCGGGAGAAGGGGUGCUGACUUAAAGUCAGCCGCAGUGAAUAGGCCCAAGCAACUGUUUAUCAAAAACACAGCUCUCUGCUAAAUCGUAAGAUGAUGUAUAGGGGGUGACGCCUGCCCGGUGCUGGAAGGUUAAGAGGAGUGCUUAGCGUAAGCGAAGGUAUGAAUUGAAGCCCCAGUAAACGG